GCGUGGACAUAAUAAAUUCUUUUUUUUUUUGGUUGAGCAAAAACAACUCCAGUGUGCUCCUAGUGAACUUGAAAGUGUGUGCAACAUUGCAACAUUUGGUGGCAUUCGGAUAUUCCUUCUGACUCCAUCUGUCUUCCCCCCCGUCACAAGUGUCAAAAGUGUGAAAGUGCAAGCAUUUUUUCCUGUUCAUCCGCAACAAAAAUACAAACCAAAAGAAAGCAAGAAACAAAAAAGAAACAUACGCGAAAGGAUUCUCGCAAGCUACGACAAACAACUCAAAGUCUGAGAAGAAAAGAAAGCAAAUCAAUUCUAUAAUCUUAAACAACCAAUUACAACACAGAACAAACUCUAAUUCAAUUGAUUGUGCAAUAAAUUAUACAUAAAAGUUGACGCGAUUUGAGCUGUAAUACUGCAACACUUGAAGAUUCUACAACGAAAGCAAAGUUUAAGCAGACAACAACAGAAGAUGCAAAUUGCAGCGAAGAGCAGCCGAGAUUGCAGUGGGAGCAACAAGAGGAAAACAAGCAGAUCAGCAGGAGGAGCAGGCGGAGC
Drosophila innubila is the source of this 552-nucleotide long non-coding RNA. RefSeq lists it as uncharacterized. NCBI's taxonomy places the organism in Eukaryota, Metazoa, Arthropoda, Insecta, Diptera, Drosophilidae. The record is from RefSeq and is a predicted model, not a curated record. The transcript is spliced from 4 exons.